GCUUCGGAUUGGCAUCCCCGGGAGUCUGGAUGGGGUGUCAGACCAUCCGGGAGGAGCUCCAGCCCUCAGUGAUAAUGGAGCGCUAAGCCCCCCGCGGGCGAUUUCCGGGUCCCCGCAGAAUCCAACCCUCAGCGGUAACGGAGCGCUAAGCCCCCCGCGGGCGAUUUCCGGGUCCCCGCAGAAUCCAACCCUCAGCGGUAACGGAGCGCUAAGCCCCCCGCGGGCGAUUUCCGGGUCCCCGCAGAAGCACAUUUCCUUCCUCCUCCCACACUUGACUCCUUCAAGGUCGGGCUGUUACCUCCACUGUGCAGCUGCAGCCAGGACUCAAGGAGCAAAGCGACUUGCCCAGUCACACCCCAUGUGACUCUGGGGACAUGCAUGGAGUCACCCCAGCCCUCUUGAGCCUUAGCCCUUCUCUGGUUCCAUUCUGAUUUUCAAAGAAGGAAAUACACAGAUAGGAGGGGUUCCCAGGCGGCCCAUGUCCUCUGGGAGUGCGGUAGGACGAGAGUGUGAAGGAUGGCAGUGUCUGGGACAGAACCAGGCCCCCAGGUGCUGGCCUGGUGAUCACAUGGAGGGCCGGUUGCCUGAUCUUAGGUCUUCCUUGUGGGGGGCAACAAGGAUGUCCCUGGGGAAGGUACAGCCAGCACAAAGAUAAAGAUUUGGGAAGCAGCCUUUAUUCUUGUCUGAGUCUGGUCUAUUCUUGGAUCCCUGGCCCAGUCUGCACCCGCUACAUCACAGGUGCUGUUGUAGGGGCUGGGGAAGGAGCUGUGGGUGAGACCAUGUCCUGCCUUUGCUGAGCUCACCCUGUGGUCUUCCCAGCAGCCUGGUUCAGAGACAAGGAGCAGGGUGAGGGCCUGGACAGUUCUCAGUUGCCAGGAAGGGCAAGGGCACACUGUGGGGAGGACAGCAGGUAGACCAGAAGGACAGACCACUGCCUUCAGAGUCAAAGCCCGUUACUGGAGGCUUCUGGACAUCAGCCACAGCAGGAAGUAAGAAGCAGGCUGGGGAUACGAGGGACUGCUCUGGUUUUAACCUGCCCUUUAUGACUCCUUGAGGGCAUAGACAGUGUCCUACACAGGCUGCCUGGCAGCUUGGAGGGUUCUCACCGCUGAGUGCCGCCACUCAGAGUGAACCUAGGGGGCCGUCUUGUGCCUGACUUGCCUGGGAUGCUGCUGCCUGCUUGCCCAUUUGAACACCUUCUGGUCCAUCACCUUGAUCUACAGCAUGGCCUUGGCCUUGGUUUCCCCAUCUGUGAAGGAGAAGGCUGCCCUACAUGCCCCCCGAGGGCUCUCCUUGCUGGACAAUGAUUCCCCACUCGUGCCAGACACCCGCUUUAUGACCGGCUGUGCGGAAGCUGUGACGGUGCCUUCCCCGGCGGAGGACAGUGCGGUGACCGGCUGUGCGGGAGCUGUGACACGGUGCCUUCCCCGGUGGAGGACAGUGCGGGGACCGGCUGUGCGGGAGCUGUGACACGGUGCCUUCCCCGGCGGAGGACAGUGCGGUGACCAGCUGUGCAGGAGCUGUGAUGGUGCCUUUCCUGGCGGAGGACAGUGCGGUGACCGGCUGUGCGGGAGCUGUGACGGUGCCUUCCCCGGCGGGGGACAGUGCGGUGACCGGCUGUGCAGGAGCUGUGACAGUCCCUUCCCCGGCGGGGGAUGGUGCGGUGACCGGCUGUGCGGGAGCUGUGACACGGUGCCUUCCCCGGCGGGGGACGGUGCGGUGACCGGCUGUGCGGGAGCUGUGACGGUGCCUUCCCCGGUGGGGGACAGUGCGAGAGCACGUUGGACCAUUCCCAGGCCUGUGCUGAAGAGCAACUUGCAACCGGGAGAGUCAGGUCCAGUCAGAGCUCCAGCUUCAUGCCUGGCCUGGAACCUGAUCACUUCAGCCAGCAAAUGCCAGCUGUCACCUGCCUCCAAGACCCAUUAGGAGGAGGUUCCAGUCAACCCAAUGGAUCACCUUGGCUUGGUAUAGACAGUUAAGGUCAAAACUCCCAAGCAUGCUUUUCCCACCAGAAGCAUACAGCAAGGAGAGCUAACCUUUGCUGCAGUGCCCACCGUACCCUGAGCUGGCAGCACAUUUAGUGGGAUGAAGAAUGUGAGAGGAUCAUUGCAUACAUCCACCAGCCAAGUGUAGGUUCAGCAGCAUUUAACAGAACUCUUCCCAGUGACAGUGUCAAAACAGGAUGGGUCCUUCAUGUCUCUUUUUGUGUAACAGUAGUUUGGAGGUGGGUGGCUGUAGGAAGCUGUUAGGGAUCAAUACUUAGUCUGUCCUCAUCCUCAUGGUCCAAGAUGGGUGCUAGAACUCCAGCCAUCUCAUCCAUGUCCCAAGCAGGUGUCCCCUCUUAGGGAGACUUCCUGGAAGUACCAUCCAACACUUUGCUGAUAUCUCAUUGGUUAGAACGGAAUCACAUGAUCACAUCUAGUGUAAAGGAGGCUGGGAUACAUAGUUUUGUAUUAGGUUGGUGCAAAAGUAAUUGUGGUAAUAAUUGAGCACAUUGUUGUCCAGCUAGAAAUUGGGUUCUAAGGAAGAUAGCAAGAAUGGAUGUUGAUCAGGCAAUUGGGAGUCUCCACAUUUGCCAACAGUCUUGUCUGACCACCUCUCCGGGUGGCAGGCCGAGUGGAUUCAGGGAGCACAGUGUUGGGGACAGGCAGGAAAAGGCACGGAACCACAGCACCAUGUUCCACAUUGCUGUCCUUGGAGUGGGCUGUCUUAAAGGAUUUAUUUUAGUUAUGUGAGGGGCUUGAGUUCCCCAAAUGGUCAACUCAGCUUUCAAGAGGUUUCCAGGGGUCAGGAGAGCGGUUUCUGACCCCCGCACUCCAACAGUCCAUGGUUCUUCACCUCAAGGCUGCUUAGCACUUCGGGUGAAUGAAGAAGGCACACGGGACAGUCUGUCUUCUGUGCAGUCACUGGAUCACCCUGGGAUAAAGUCUCCCCCAGGCCCUGUCAUAGCUCUGGUCCUUCUUAGGAAAGGAAAAGUCCUAUUAUUGUUUUUAGUUACACGUCAUCUUCCUUUUCUUUAACGUGUCUGGUUGAGCAAAAUCAUCAAAACCCAGAUCUUUGUUCAACGCCUGUGUGUCUGGCCCUCCAGCCCGGCCCGGUCAAGGCUGGCAGCCUGCAGUGGGGAGUGGGGUGAGGGCCUUCUGCUGUCUUUAGUCCCACGGGUCUGGACCUCUACUUCCUGCUGGGUCCCAAGGC
This 3195-nucleotide long non-coding RNA is filed under the name Homo sapiens (human). RNAcentral describes it as "HSALNT0290002". Lineage: Eukaryota; Metazoa; Chordata; Mammalia; Primates; Hominidae. The record is from RNAcentral.